AAAUCUUGCUCCACAUACAAUGACAACUAGCUGCGGUGUUACAUCAUCCUCACAUGACGAUGCAGCGUUGUCAUUAUCAACUACACUCAAUCAUUAUGAAAAUGUGCCUCCCCUUACUAUAUCAGGGGUUGUCUUGGAUAACACCAAAGAAAUUAGGCUAAUACGUCCAGGUGGAUGCAAUAAAAACUUGACUGUCGAAAAAAGGGAG
This is a long non-coding RNA of Hordeum vulgare subsp. vulgare (domesticated barley), 208 nucleotides long. RefSeq lists it as uncharacterized. NCBI's taxonomy places the organism in Eukaryota, Viridiplantae, Streptophyta, Magnoliopsida, Poales, Poaceae. The record is from RefSeq and is a predicted model, not a curated record. The transcript has 3 exons.